CACAAGGGAGGAAGCUCAUUUGCGACAAUGCUUCAAAUUAUUGUUGUAAAAUUUUUCUAAGACUUUCACUUACUUUGUGACCUGAAUAAAUCUGUUCCCACUUGAAUUAUCUCUUCAAUGACAUAUAUUUAUUACCUUAAGUAACCUCUAUAACUAUUGUAAUCCUUAAAACAAACUCGACAUUUCUGAAAUAGAACGAAUCGAGGCCCUAAAUUUGAAAAUGAAAGUACUAAAGCGUCACCUACCGGAAAA
This 252-nucleotide long non-coding RNA is filed under the name Mytilus galloprovincialis (Mediterranean mussel). The record is from RNAcentral. Lineage: Eukaryota; Metazoa; Mollusca; Bivalvia; Mytilida; Mytilidae.